Molecule: long non-coding RNA, 615 nt
Organism: Eriocheir sinensis (Chinese mitten crab)
Lineage: Eukaryota; Metazoa; Arthropoda; Malacostraca; Decapoda; Varunidae
Exons: 3
Source: RefSeq, a predicted model, not a curated record
GAGGGGGGGAGGGGGGGGGGGGAAGAGAAGGAUAGAACCGCUAGAGAAAGGAAGGGAAAUUAAAGAAGAGGGGAAGGAGGAGGAUGAUAAGGGAAGGAAGGGAAGGGAAUAGAGAAAGGGGAAGGAUGAUAAGGAAAGUUAAGGAAGGGGUAAGGAAGAAGGGAAGGAGGAGGACGGUAAGGGAACGAAGGGAAGGGAAUAGAGAAAGGGAAGAGAGUUUUUCCAUUCUCCCCCUUCUUCCUUGCGUCUCCUCUCACUCCCCACCUUCCCCCUUUUUAUUUUUACAGCAAAGGAGACAGCACAAGGGCACACACAAAAAAGGAAACAAUAAAAAAAAAGCCCGCUACUCGCUGCUCCUGUAAAGUAUCCGAAGAGGUGGCCGAAGGAGCAGUCACACUCUGGUCGAUAUUAUAAGACCCCUUGGCUUCUCACAUCACCUGUUUCUAAAGGCCAAUGAGAGGGUCAAUCGGGUUCCAAUGAGUGUUUCUUUAGGUUCACGGCACAGAGGAAGGGUCAGACUACCACCAGGGCCAUAAAACUACUCCUGGAAAUGUCCCAAACUCCUAUGAAAGCUUGGUCAAAUAUGUGUUCUUGGACAACGAAAUCUUUGGUAAU